AAGAAGGAAGAAGAGAAAAAGAGAAGUUUUGUUGUGUGAACAAUUUGGAUUGUUUACGAGCUAAAAAAAGAAAGAGAGAGAAAGAGGGAGAGAGAGAUUUGGACCGAUCCCUUUGGCGUUGAAUAAUGCUAGAGG
Molecule: non-coding RNA, 135 nt
Filed under: Paramoeba aestuarina
Lineage: Eukaryota; Discosea; Flabellinia; Dactylopodida; Paramoebidae
Source: RNAcentral